RNAcentral lists this ribosomal RNA (713 nucleotides) under Bacillus sp. (in: firmicutes). Its description in RNAcentral is "bacterial SSU rRNA". It matches the Rfam family "Bacterial small subunit ribosomal RNA", at positions 318 to 1019 of the family's 1533-position model. Lineage: Bacteria; Bacillati; Bacillota; Bacilli; Caryophanales; Bacillaceae. The record is from RNAcentral.
CUUGCGAAGAUCCCCCUCUACUCUUAGGGGAGGCAGCAGUAGGGAAUCUUCCGCAAUGGACGAAAGUCUGACGGAGCAACGCCGCGUGAGUGAUGAAGGUUUUCGGAUCGUAAAGCUCUGUUGUUAGGGAAGAACAAGUGCGAGAGUAACUGCUCGCACCUUGACGGUACCUAACCAGAAAGCCACGGCUAACUACGUGCCAGCAGCCGCGGUAAUACGUAGGUGGCAAGCGUUGUCCGGAAUUAUUGGGCGUAAAGGGCUCGCAGGCGGUUUCUUAAGUCUGAUGUGAAAGCCCCCGGCUCAACCGGGGAGGGUCAUUGGAAACUGGGAAACUUGAGUGCAGAAGAGGAGAGUGGAAUUCCACGUGUAGCGGUGAAAUGCGUAGAGAUGUGGAGGAACCACCAGUGGCGAAGGCGACUCUCUGGUCUGUAACUGACGCUGAGGAGCGAAAGCGUGGGGAGCGAACAGGAUUAGAUACCCUGGUAGUCCACGCCGUAAACGAUGAGUGCUAAGUGUUAGGGGGUUUCCGCCCCUUAGUGCUGCAGCUAACGCAUUAAGCACUCCGCCUGGGGAGUACGGUCGCAAGACUGAAACUCAAAGGAAUUGACGGGGGCCCGCACAAGCGGUGGAGCAUGUGGUUUAAUUUGAAGCAACGCGAAGAACCUUACCAGGUCUUGACAUCCUCUGACAACCCUAGAGAUAUGGCUAGCCUG